AUUUUCUAAGCAUUGUAGAAGUUUGUGUUUAGGACAAGAUUUUUGGACUGGGGUUCGAUUCCCCACAGCUCCACCA
Molecule: transfer-messenger RNA, 76 nt
Filed under: Helicobacter pylori
Lineage: Bacteria; Pseudomonadati; Campylobacterota; Epsilonproteobacteria; Campylobacterales; Helicobacteraceae
Description: partial transfer-messenger RNA
Rfam family: transfer-messenger RNA
About the family: Bacterial tmRNA, also known as 10Sa RNA or SsrA, is named for its dual tRNA and mRNA-like properties.
Source: RNAcentral